AAAGAUUAAGCCAUGCAUGUCUAAGUAUAAGCGACUUAUACUGUGAAACUGCGAAUGGCCCUUUAUAUCAGUAAUAGUUUAUUUGAUGGUCCCUUACUACCUGGAUACCCGUAGUAAUUCUAGAGCUAAUACAUGCACUACGAUCCCAACUGCUUGUCGGACGGGUAGCAUUUAUUAGAUUGAAACCAAUGCAGUCUUCGGGCUGGUAUUGUGUUGAGUCAUAAUAACUGUGCGGAUCGCACUCAGUGCGAUAAAUCGAUUGAGUUUCUGCCCUAUCAGCUUUGGAUGGUAGGAUAUGGGCCUACCAUGGCAU
Molecule: ribosomal RNA, 313 nt
Filed under: uncultured fungus
Lineage: Eukaryota; Fungi
Description: bacterial SSU rRNA
Rfam family: Eukaryotic small subunit ribosomal RNA
Source: RNAcentral